Molecule: long non-coding RNA, 1761 nt
Organism: Carassius auratus (goldfish)
Lineage: Eukaryota; Metazoa; Chordata; Actinopteri; Cypriniformes; Cyprinidae
Exons: 6
Source: RefSeq, a predicted model, not a curated record
AUAGACACAGGGAAGAGGCACAUGUGGGGACUCCCAAUGGACAGCAGCGAGGGAAACUCCAAGGAGGGCUUCAAAAUUGGAUGAAGAGGGGAUGGAGGUUGCUGUGUGUCGCCAUGGGUUCCUUUUGAAAGCCCUUAAUAUGUACAGGGGAGAGAUAUUAGCCUACUCUCUGUACCUUCAAAAGGACAAUUCUUCGCAAUGGACUUGGCACACAAAUACUGGCCAUACCUGGAGAAAGUUGCUAGUGUCCUUCCUGCUCUUCAGGAGCUGACCACUAUGAAACCCUUUCUCAGUGUAAUGCAUGCUCGAACCCAUGCUACUAAAUGUGAGAUUAAUUGGAGUGGCAGGAACCAGGAAGGAGCAGGGACAACCGCCGAAGAGGAGGUGGAGCAAGUUACCUUUCACGUUGUGCCCUAACGACCAAAUACAUGUCCAAAGCAGCACGGGUGGACAUGCUUACAUUGCAUGCAAUGGGGUGGAACGAGAAAAAAAAUCUCUCUUUACAUUGGGCACUUUCCACAAGAUAUGUGAAGACUUGUCAGAGACUCCAUGAUGAGACUGCAAGGAUAGCUGACCUAAAAACAGCUAGAUUGCACAGAUGAAUUGGUAUCACAGUGGCUAUCUGAUGUAAAGGAAUGGGCAGCUGGUGAGACACCUGGUACAUCUCGUGCCAGUCAAGGCACAACACACAGAGGAAUUCAGCAAUCAAUUGAGGAGCUGUACCUUAGUGUGAGGCACCGGAAGCGAACCCUCUACCGUCAGAAUGACAGCAGCAAGUUUCGCAUUCGCCUUCGAAGGAAGCUAGCGAUAGAUAUCUUCAGGAGAUACAGAAAUACAAUGAUCUUGUACUAGAAUCGGCAACAACCAUUGACAUAGCUGUGGUGGAGCAUUCCCUAACUGGAGAGAGUACUGUGUCUCAAAUAUGGCCGUGGGAGGUUCAUGGCAGUGAUAUGUCUGUUUUUAGAUGCUUCACAGGAAUUUAUUUUCAGUUCUGCUUUAUAGAGUAUACUGAACUAAGGCAUGCAUGUUACAUAUUGAGUGUUGUAAUAUUAAUUUAGUUUAAUUGCUGUAUUUUCAGUUUCCUUAUGUAUCAAUUUGAUAAAAAAGUAAAUGUUUGUAGUGAUUAUGCAAGAUUGUCUCAUGUAUACAUAUAACUGUUAUUGAUUCUUAGCAAACAUUUCAAUCAAGAAACAAGUGCACGACCAAGUGAUGUAAACGAGGUGACUGUAUGAAGAAACAAGAGUUUUGGUUUUUGAGAUGGCACAACACUGCACGUGGUUGCAGAGCCUGGUAAUGGUUCUCAAGAACAAGUUGGCUAAGGAGGGUAAGUUUAAUUAAAACCCUGUCCAUGUAAUGUUAAAAAAACACAUCAGUCACAGAACUUGGAUGGAGUAGAACGGUUAUUGCUCUCUUUGCCGAGGUCCUUUAGCAUGUACAUAAAAUAGGGAUUAAAGUUGUAACUGUAGCUAUGGUAACAAGUCAGUGCCAAUCAUCCUGCUAUGUAGAUUUGAAUAGGUAAUAUCUUUUUACUCAAUUUAAGUUCUUUGGCCUUAUGAAACAAUCUUAUUAUAGUUCUCCUCUGACCUCUAGCAUCAACAAGGCAUUUUCGCCCCCAAAGGACUGCCGUAUACUGGAUAUUUUUCCCUUUUCACACCAUUCUUUGUAAACCCUAGAAAUGGUUGUGCGUGAAAAUCCCAGUAACUGAGCAGAUUGUGAAAUACUCAGACUGGCCCGUCUGGCACCAACAACCAUUCCACGCUC